CAACAAGGCCAUGGGCCCCCCGGCGCCCCGGCGCUGGAGGGUACCGGCCUGACUUACACACCCACCCUUUGCCUAUGUGUACCUCUAUCGCUUCCUCGGCAGGCCCGCCUGCCGCCAGGAACCACGUAAACCCUUGCAUCAUACAUCAACUCUGAUACCAACCAAAAACUAUUA
This 174-nucleotide unclassified non-coding RNA is filed under the name soil metagenome. RNAcentral's name for it is "partial internal transcribed spacer 1". The record is from RNAcentral.